GUGGGGAAUCUUGCGCAAUGGGCGAAAGCCUGACGCAGCCAUGCCGCGUGAAUGAUGAAGGUCUUAGGAUUGUAAAAUUCUUUCACCGGGGACGAUAAUGACGGUACCCGGAGAAGAAGCCCCGGCUAACUUCGUGCCAGCAGCCGCGGUAAUACGAAGGGGGCUAGCGUUGCUCGGAAUUACUGGGCGUAAAGGGCGCGUAGGCGGACAGUUUAGUCAGAGGUGAAAGCCCAGGGCUCAACCUUGGAAUUGCCUUUGAUACUGGCUGUCUUGAGUACGGGAGAGGUGAGUGGAACUCCGAGUGUAGAGGUGAAAUUCGUAGAUAUUCGGAAGAACACCAGUGGCGAAGGCGACUCACUGGCCCGUUACUGGCGCUGAGGCGCGAAAGCGUGGGGAGCAAACAGGAUUAGAAACCCUGGUAGUCC
Molecule: ribosomal RNA, 425 nt
Filed under: uncultured bacterium
Lineage: Bacteria
Description: partial 16S ribosomal RNA
Rfam family: Bacterial small subunit ribosomal RNA
Source: RNAcentral